GAGGCUUUAGCUUAAUUAAAGUGUUUGAGUUGCAUUCAUAUGAUGUAUAUUAGAUAUAUACAAGUCUUG
RNAcentral lists this transfer RNA (69 nucleotides) under Blanus cinereus (Mediterranean worm lizard). Its description in RNAcentral is "tRNA-Ala". The record is from RNAcentral. Lineage: Eukaryota; Metazoa; Chordata; Lepidosauria; Squamata; Blanidae.